RNAcentral lists this microRNA precursor (97 nucleotides) under Marmota monax (woodchuck). It matches the Rfam family "mir-562 microRNA precursor family". The record is from RNAcentral. Lineage: Eukaryota; Metazoa; Chordata; Mammalia; Rodentia; Sciuridae.
AGUGGAAUUGCUGGGUCAUAUGGUAACUCUAACUUUUUGACAAACUUCUAAACUGCUUUCCAAAGUGGUUGCACUAUUUUACAUUCCCAAGGGCAAU